This 310-nucleotide ribosomal RNA is filed under the name uncultured bacterium. Its description in RNAcentral is "partial 16S ribosomal RNA". It matches the Rfam family "Bacterial small subunit ribosomal RNA", at positions 503 to 808 of the family's 1533-position model. The record is from RNAcentral.
AAGAGACAGCAGCAGCCACGGUAAUACGUAGGUCCCGAGCGUUGUCCGGAUUUAUUGGGCGUAAAGCGAGCGCAGGCGGUUAGAUAAGUCUGGAGUUAAAGGCUGUGGCUUAACCAUAGUACGCUUUGGAAACUGUUUAACUUGAGUGCAAGAGGGGAGAGUGGAAUUCCACGUGUAGCGGUGAAAUGCGUAGAGAUGUGGAGGAACACCAGUGGCGAAGGCGACUCUCUGGUCUGUAACUGACGCUGAGGCUCGAAAGCGUGGGUAGCAAACAGGAUUAGAUACCCCGGUAGUCCCUGUCUCUUAUACA